AAGAGUUUAUGAGUGUAAGUUUUACAUCUUGUAAUAAAGUAGAGUUAGGCUGGUAUACUAUCGGUAGCACGGAGGUUUUCGUGCUACUAAGUUGUUUUCAAUAAUGCGGCUUUCAAAUCGACGAUCGGUUCCGUUAGACUUGAUCUAUACUAUUGAAAGUAUUUGAAAACUAAAUUUCAUAAUUUUUCGACAUUAUUUGGCUAGUGCUAAAAAUGUCUCAAAAUUGACAAUUUUAAUGGUAGAUUUGAUACGUUUGUGAAUUUAACGGUGUAAAACAAUCCAAAUUUAAUUAAAUUUUUGUAGAAAAUUCUUUUCACUAUUUAGAGUAAGAUUAGUAUCUCUGAUCUUAAAUUAAAAUCUUUUAUCAUCAUUUUUUAAGAGAUUUUUAUUUUCAGCCGUUCAUUUUUAGACUACUCGUUUGAUAGAUAAAUGAUGCCGAAAAAUUAUGAAAUUUAGUUUCCAAAUACUUUCAAUAGUGUAGAUUAAGUCUAACAGAGCCGAUCGUCGAUUUGGAAGCCACGUCAUCAAAAACAAUUUAGUAGCACGAAGGGUUCUGUACUACCAAUAGUAUAUCAGCCGGACUCCAAAGUAUAUCUCCAUAUA
This 603-nucleotide long non-coding RNA is filed under the name Ananas comosus (pineapple). RNAcentral describes it as "long non-coding RNA (ACOM_LNC011363)". Lineage: Eukaryota; Viridiplantae; Streptophyta; Magnoliopsida; Poales; Bromeliaceae. The record is from RNAcentral.